CCUGAGAAACCUAAAAGUUCGAAAAGAGAGAUUCAACGUCAGCAUGUAUAGUAUUGACGUGAGUAGUGAUGUCAGUUUUAUUGGUUGGGUUAAACCAAACAAUUAUGACCUGACACAUUUUCAUGUUAUUUUUUAUUGCUGUACAACUGUCGGCGUGCACUUCUCUCUUAGUAGGACGUCCCGACCCGUUGAGUCUUAGCCUACGGCCCAAAUGGAUGCCUUUAAUAUUUUUAUAUUAAAAUCCUUUGGUGUCUCCUGGCCUAAGUGCUUGACGGUGAAAAAUGACUUGGUAUUAAGCCGCAAUUUAUUGUGCGUCCGGCCUGUCGCAAGUUUAUUGACAAUUUCUGUACACAUAGACUAAGUCCUAAGUGUAUGGUAUUGUUGGCUGUUUGCAUGACUGUGCUCUUGGACCGGCUUAGUAUAUACCUGUCAGGGACGCUUAGGCUUUGGGUACUCUCAGGACCCGUCUUGAAACACGGACCAAGGAGUCUAACAUGUACGCGAGUCAUUGGGUAUAUAUUUUCUUUCGGGAAUUUAUAUAAAACAAACCUAAAGGCGAAAUGAAAGUAAAAGCUGGAUCUUGUAUUCAACUUAGGGAUGAUGGGUUAUUAAUUUAUCUCCGCAAUCCCGGGGCGUCUUAAUCUCAUUGCGAGAUGU
This 657-nucleotide ribosomal RNA is filed under the name Zelomorpha nr. tropicola NL-2005. RNAcentral's name for it is "eukaryotic LSU rRNA". It matches the Rfam family "Eukaryotic large subunit ribosomal RNA", at positions 386 to 789 of the family's 3401-position model. Lineage: Eukaryota; Metazoa; Arthropoda; Insecta; Hymenoptera; Braconidae. The record is from RNAcentral.